This 290-nucleotide unclassified non-coding RNA is filed under the name uncultured Coprinopsis. RNAcentral's name for it is "sequence contains ITS2". The stretch from base 1 to 52 matches the Rfam family "5.8S ribosomal RNA", at positions 103 to 154 of the family's 154-position model. The record is from RNAcentral. Lineage: Eukaryota; Fungi; Basidiomycota; Agaricomycetes; Agaricales; Psathyrellaceae.
AACGCACCUUGCGCUCCUUGGUAUUCCGAGGAGCAUGCCUGUUUGAGUGUCAUUAAAUUCUCAACCUCACCAACUUUGUUGUGUGAAGGCUUGGAUGUGGGGGUUGCAGGUCCGCACUUGUGUGGUCUGCUCCUCUAAAACGUAUUAGUGGGUUAGUCCCCUAAUCUAUUGGUGUGAUAAUUAUCUACGCCGUGGAUUUGGAAGACUAUCAUAGACCUGCUUCUAACCGUCCUCUGGACAACUUUGACAAUUUUGACCUCAAAUCAGGUAAGACUACCCGCUGAACUUAA